CCACGUGGGCCGAGGGGUAGAGGAGGAAAUUGAAGACGAAGGCGUUGGGACAGCGCCGCUGCUGCAGGAUGGUGUUUCCCUUCCUGUUUGCUGAUCCACUGGGGCUGUCCCAGAAAGAGAACUACAACGCUACUCUUUCCCAUGCCUUGCUUGUCCACAGGACUGACUCUGGAACUGUGUGAGGAGCUGCUGGACUACACAAUGCCCAAUAAACAUCUGUCACCUGACUGACAAACAGCUGCUUGGUUUGUGGGUGGUAGUUCCAAGGUGAACAAACAACAUGUUUGGAAAGCUGCUAUUCUGACAAGGCACUGAAAUUCCCAGCUCCAACCAAGAUUCUGGACUUCAGACUCGGCCACGUGAUGAGGGGAUAGAAGAGCGGCAACCUUCUGGCAUCUCUGUGGAUUUGGGCAAUUAUCAAACCUGUAACUAUCAUAAUAAAUUCACGUGAAAGGCCUUUGCUUAUUCCUCUGGCACCAGGCAAUUCUGGAUCCCAUGUUACAAUGAGGGUGUGGCAAGAGGAAUAUCCCCAAAAUGUAUUUAAAUGCUCAUCAAAUGUCUGGAUAGAGGUUUUAAAAGAUUUAAUUUGACUUAAAGAAAAUAAUAUUUCUCUUAUAGUCAAGAUUGUGGAUUAAGAUUU
This 640-nucleotide long non-coding RNA is filed under the name Homo sapiens (human). Its description in RNAcentral is "novel transcript". Lineage: Eukaryota; Metazoa; Chordata; Mammalia; Primates; Hominidae. The record is from RNAcentral.